This 75-nucleotide transfer RNA is filed under the name Nemipterus hexodon (ornate threadfin bream). RNAcentral's name for it is "tRNA-Lys". It matches the Rfam family "tRNA". From Rfam's summary of the family: Transfer RNA (tRNA) molecules are approximately 80 nucleotides in length. Their secondary structure includes four short double-helical elements and three loops (D, anti-codon, and T loops). Further hydrogen bonds mediate the characteristic L-shaped molecular structure. tRNAs have two regions of fundamental functional importance: the anti-codon, which is responsible for specific mRNA codon recognition, and the 3' end, to which the tRNAs corresponding amino acid is attached (by aminoacyl-tRNA synthetases). tRNAs cope with the degeneracy of the genetic code in two manners: having more than one tRNA (with a specific anti-codon) for a particular amino acid; and 'wobble' base-pairing, i.e. permitting non-standard base-pairing at the 3rd anti-codon position. RNAcentral also lists the same sequence under 3 other names. The record is from RNAcentral. Lineage: Eukaryota; Metazoa; Chordata; Actinopteri; Spariformes; Nemipteridae.
CACUAAGAAGCUAAAUAGGGCCAUAGCGUUAGCCUUUUAAGCUAAAGACUGGUGAUCCCCGCCCACCCUUAGUGA